Molecule: ribosomal RNA, 433 nt
Filed under: uncultured bacterium
Lineage: Bacteria
Description: partial 16S ribosomal RNA
Rfam family: Bacterial small subunit ribosomal RNA
Source: RNAcentral
AACGAACGCUGGCGGCAUGCCUAACACAUGCAAGUCGAACGAGCCCUUCGGGUCUAGUGGCGCACGGGUGCGUAACGCGUGGGAACCUUCCCUUAUGUUCGGAAUAACUCCCCGAAAGGGGUGCUAAUACCGGAUAAUGUCUUCGGCCCAAUGAUUUAUUGCCUUUGGAUGUGCCCGCGUUGGAUUAGCUAGUUCUUAGGGUAAUAGCCUACCAAGGCGACGAUCCAUAGAUGGUCUGAGAGGAUGAUCAGCGACACUGGGACUGAGACACGGCCCAGACUCCUACGGGAGGGAGCAGUGGGGAAUAUUGGACAAUGGGCGAAAGCCUGAUCGAGCAAUGCCGCGUGAAUGAUGAAGGCAGUAGGGUUGUAAAGCGCUUUUACCCGGGAUGAUAAUGACAGUACCGGGAGAAUAAGCUCCGGCUAACUCCGUG